ACGAACGCUGGCGGCGUGCUUAACACAUGCAAGUCGAACGCUGAAACCGGAGCUUGCUUCGGUGGAUGAGUGGCGAACGGGUGAGUAACACGUGAGCAACCUGCCCUUCACUCUGGGAUAAGCGCUGGAAACGGUGUCUAAUACUGGAUACGACCUAUCACCGCAUGGUGUGUGGGUGGAAAGAUUUAUCGGUGGGGGAUGGGCUCGCGGCCUAUCAGCUGGUUGGUGGGGUAAUGGCCUACCAAGGCGACGACGGGUAGCCGGCCUGAGAGGGUGACCGGCCACACUGGGACUGAGACACGGCCCAGACUCCUACGGGAGGCAGCAGUGGGGAAUAUUGCACAAUGGGCGCAAGCCUGAUGCAGCAACGCCGCGUGAGGGAUGACGGCCUUCGGGUUGUAAACCUCUUUUAGUAGGGAAGAAGCCGCAAGGUGACAGUACCUGCAGAAAAAGCACCGGCUAACUACGUG
This 470-nucleotide ribosomal RNA is filed under the name uncultured bacterium. RNAcentral's name for it is "bacterial SSU rRNA". It matches the Rfam family "Bacterial small subunit ribosomal RNA", at positions 29 to 507 of the family's 1533-position model. The record is from RNAcentral.